AUGAAGUGAUUACCCAUCAUGCCUAGAGUCCACAGAACAAGCCUGUGGGGGCAGUGUUGUGAUCAGAGGUUGAUUCAGUUGAUCAGGUCCAGGUUCAGCCAAAAACAUGGAAGGCAAUG
Sphaeramia orbicularis (orbiculate cardinalfish) is the source of this 119-nucleotide long non-coding RNA. RefSeq lists it as uncharacterized. The record is from RefSeq and is a predicted model, not a curated record. The transcript is spliced from 3 exons. Lineage: Eukaryota; Metazoa; Chordata; Actinopteri; Kurtiformes; Apogonidae.